CUGCCAAAUAGAGUACUAUUUUGUAUGAAAUGGUUUGUUACAGUGUUUGUCAGUUGUGUGAAACACUGUCAGGUUUCAGUACCCUGUUUAGAAUACCAAAUACCACUCACGCUUGAAGUGCGUUGAUAUGUAUCAAUUUUC
Molecule: long non-coding RNA, 141 nt
Organism: Bradysia coprophila
Lineage: Eukaryota; Metazoa; Arthropoda; Insecta; Diptera; Sciaridae
Source: RefSeq, a predicted model, not a curated record